RNAcentral lists this ribosomal RNA (520 nucleotides) under uncultured bacterium. Its description in RNAcentral is "bacterial SSU rRNA". It matches the Rfam family "Bacterial small subunit ribosomal RNA", at positions 695 to 1213 of the family's 1533-position model. The record is from RNAcentral.
UAUCGGGAGGAACACCAGUAGCGAAGGCGGUUCUCUGGGCCUGUAUUGACGCUUGAGGAGCGAAAGCGUUGGGGAGCAAACAGGAUUAGAUACCCUGGUAGUCCACGCCGUAAACGUUGGGUACUAGGUGUGGCGAUCUGUCUAACGAUUGCCGUGCCGAAGCUAACGCAUUAAGUACCCCGCCUGGGGAGUACGGCCGCAAGGCUAAAACUCAAAGGAAUUGACGGGUCCCCGCACAAGCGGCGGAGCAUGCGGCUUAAUUCGAUGCAACCCGAAGAACCUUACCUGGACUUGACAUCAUGGGAAAAGCCGUGGAAACACGGUGUGCAUUAGCGUCCAUGACAGGUGGUGCAUGGCUGUCGUCAGCUCGUGUCGUGAGAUGUUGGGUUAAGUCCCGCAACGAGCGCAACCCUUGUCCUAUGUUGCCAGCAGUUCGGCCGGGGACUCAUGGGAGACUGCCGGGGAUAACUCGGAGGAAGGUGAGGACGACGUCAAGUCAUCAUGCCCCUUAUGUCCAGGG